CACAGUGGCUUGAUGUGUGAAAAGAGCUCUGACCCACUUUCAACGGACACACUGUAUAGUCGAACAUUGUCAAAAUGAUAUUACUGACACCCGCAGGGCUAAACAUAAAAUAUCCCUGCUGGAGUUCUAAGUUCUAGCAGUAGAGGGAUCCUGCACCAGUAAAAAGGGUAAACAACCUAGAGCGAAAACUUCAAAUUAAUCGAAGUGAUUCUUUGAUAGUUUCAGCUCCAUCGAAGGAUCAAAAUUCUUUAAAAAGCAGAUCCUUCAAGGAUCUGAUCUCUUUUUAUCCUGAAAAUUCAAAAGUGAAGGUCUAUUGUUAGAGUCCAAUUCAAUUGUUAGUCGACAAAAAAGUGCGCAGUGAAUAAUUAAAAGUUAUAAGUACGGUUAAUCGCUUAAAUAGUGAGAACAUUCAAUUCACAAAAGUACGCAAACGAAAAAAAACAGGAAAAAAGGUCCACGAAGGGCCUUUUUUUCUUUCUUUCGGACAGCUGAACCAGCGAAACGUUUGAGGAACACCUGACCAUACUUCAAGAAGUGGCAUCCCGACUUAGAGCUGCCAAUUUGUCUAUCAAUUUGAAUAAAUCACAUUUCUGUGUAUCGGAAGUCAAAUAUCUUGGAUAUAUAUUAGGGCAGCAUGGUCUGAGACCCAACCCUGACCGUGUUGCAGCUAUAGUUAACUACGAGCGACCAACCACAUUGAAAGCUUUAAGAAGGUUCUUAGGAAUGUGUAAUUACUAUAGGAGGUUUUUGGCCAACUAUACACCCUUAUUCUUGUUUACGUACGAACGCGCUUUCGAACGAAAGCUGAUGCGCAUUCUCGUUUACGCCAGCAAAAUCAAAUGGGGAAACGAUUCGAACGAACUGCAUUCGUUCGAAAGUUUCGUUCGUCCGUAAACAAGAAUAGGGGUGAUAG
Molecule: long non-coding RNA, 913 nt
Organism: Armigeres subalbatus
Lineage: Eukaryota; Metazoa; Arthropoda; Insecta; Diptera; Culicidae
Exons: 4
Source: RefSeq, a predicted model, not a curated record